UACGUAGGCAGCGAGCGUUGUUCGGAGUUACUGGGCGUAAAGCGUGCGUAGGCGGUGCCAUAAGUCUGUUGUGAAAUCUCCCGGCUUAACUGGGAGGGUGCGGUGGAAACUGUGGUGCUGGAGUGUGGGAGAGGUAGGCGGAAUUCCUGGUGUAGCGGUGAAAUGCGUAGAUAUGACAUAGAACACCAAUUGCGUAGGCAGCUUACUACACGAUCAUUGACGCUGAGGCACGAAAGCGUGGGGAGCAAACAGG
RNAcentral lists this ribosomal RNA (253 nucleotides) under uncultured bacterium. RNAcentral's name for it is "partial 16S ribosomal RNA". It matches the Rfam family "Bacterial small subunit ribosomal RNA", at positions 524 to 776 of the family's 1533-position model. The record is from RNAcentral.